GACGAACGCUGGCGGCGUGCUUAACACAUGCAAGUCGAACGGUUAAGCGCCUUCCUCUUUGGUGGGUGUGGAUGAGUGGCGAACGGGUGAGUAACACGUUAGUAACCUGCCCCCUUCUUCUGGAUAACCGCAUGAAAGUUUCGCUAAUACGGGAUAUUCUGGGUCUGUCGCAUGAUGGGUCUGGGAAAGAUAUUGUUUCGGUGGGGGAGGGGCUCGCGGCCUAUCAGGUUGUUGGUGGGGAGGUGGCCCACCGAGGCGGUGAGGGGUAGCUGGCCUGGGAGGGUGAACCGUCCCAGAGGGGAGACACGGCGCAGCAGCCUACGAGGGGCGGCAGCGGGGAGGAAUAGUGAACGGUGGGAGCAAGGCUGAUGCAGCGACGCCGCGUGAGGGAUGGAGGCCUGCGGGUUGUGAACCUCUUUCGCCAGUGAAGCAGGCCUGCCUCGUUUGUGGGUGGGUUGACGGUAGCUGGAGAAGAAGCGCCGGCUAACUACGUG
RNAcentral lists this ribosomal RNA (494 nucleotides) under uncultured bacterium. RNAcentral's name for it is "partial 16S ribosomal RNA". It matches the Rfam family "Bacterial small subunit ribosomal RNA", at positions 28 to 507 of the family's 1533-position model. The record is from RNAcentral.